UUCUGAUAAUUCAGAGGUCAAAAGAAGAUCCUAACAUUUAAAUGAAUUGUAAACAUGGGAUAUCUUGGUAUUCAUCUCUCUUUGAAAAUGUACUGUGAAUGGUGGAGGAACAAGCAAAUGGCCUUAUGCUAAUUCUUAUAGCUAAGUACUGGUUAUGGACCUCCUUCAAAGUCAUCCUAAUUACCUUUUGUUCCCUGAGGAACUCCAACUUGUCAAAUGACAUGAAAUUUGUAUAAUGAAUAAAUGA
Chelonia mydas (Green sea turtle) is the source of this 247-nucleotide long non-coding RNA. RefSeq lists it as uncharacterized. The record is from RefSeq and is a predicted model, not a curated record. NCBI's taxonomy places the organism in Eukaryota, Metazoa, Chordata, Testudines, Cheloniidae. The transcript has 3 exons.